AACAUUAAGUACUUCUUGCCUCUCCAUUCUCUUUCCUACAAUUCAAUUAACUGAGUCAGAAACAUAUUACGGGAUAUUGCCGGUUGAUCGAUUGCUUUAAUUAGUUGUUGGUUAGUAAGUCUACCGCGUGUACACGAGUACGAGCAAUGGAUGUUUGUGAAGGCUAUGAGAUACUGGAAAUCAAGGAGCUAAUUGUUUGGGUCACUUGACUGAAUUGUAACUGCACCAUUUGAGGCGAUUUUGCCCUGGUUUUGCUGGGUGGUAAGGUGGUUUAUGGGAGUUGCUGAGUUGGUGGAAGAUUGGGGCAUUUGCAUAUGGUUGGUACUGAGGAGGACUAUGCUGCUGGAGUGGGAAGCAGGAGAGCAACCGUUGGGAUCUUGGAUUUUUUUUCCCCGAGCAGAAUGUGGACUUACUACCUUUAUAUUGAAGCUGAUGUAACACGUCAGAAGUUCUCCACUCCUGCAUAAAUGGACUGCAUCAUCAACCUGCACUGUUAAGGUGAAGUUGAAGAAAAGGAAAGAGAACACUGAUUCUUCAGGAAAAACUGGAUAUGGAGCUGCAAGAUCUAAAUGAAGGACUUCGGGAUGGUACUAUUGUAAUUGUUCAUAUGCGAAUUUACAACUUGUCUGGCUAGACCUAUGUUCUGAAUAAUCUUCAUUCCUCCAUCCAUUGUAACUUCAUGUUCAAAGGUGCUUAUGAGACGGAAGUUAAACGAGAUGGGACAAGAAAAGAAGGCUUUUCAGGUUUUACUUGCUUAAAUUUUCUGAUCCAUUAAUUUUUAGAGAAACAUAAUUGCAUAAGUAAGCAGAUUUACUUGCUAUCCAUUGGAAUAAAAAAAUUGAGCGGAGAUAUGAUUUUACUGUUCAUGUUCUUUCUUUUCUAUUUGUAUUGAGGUUCAUGCUCACUCAAAUAUAUCAUGUUGUGGGACUGUCUGAUCCAUGCAUACUUUUUUACUUUCAGUUUGUUUUAUUGAUAGGCAACGUCGUAUUUUUUUAAUCAAAAAUCUCUAUGGGGUUGGUGAAUCUGCGUUCAUUGGAUGAUCUCUUCUUUAAUAUAAUAAGAAUGGUCCUUUCUUAGAAU
Long non-coding RNA from Triticum dicoccoides, 1080 nucleotides. RefSeq lists it as uncharacterized. The transcript is spliced from 4 exons. The record is from RefSeq and is a predicted model, not a curated record. Lineage: Eukaryota; Viridiplantae; Streptophyta; Magnoliopsida; Poales; Poaceae.